This 899-nucleotide ribosomal RNA is filed under the name Isopora palifera. RNAcentral's name for it is "partial 12S small subunit ribosomal RNA". It matches the Rfam family "Bacterial small subunit ribosomal RNA", at positions 314 to 1493 of the family's 1533-position model. Lineage: Eukaryota; Metazoa; Cnidaria; Anthozoa; Scleractinia; Acroporidae. The record is from RNAcentral.
UUUCACUGAAACAAGGGGAAAGCUCAAAUGGGGAAUUGGCCCCGGAGGCAGCAGUAAAGAAUUUUGUGCAAUAUAUGAAGGUAAGACACAGAGAGGGCACCUUGCCUAGUCCGUCAAAUUAAGUGCCAGCAGACGCGGUGAAACUUAAGGGCUAGUUUUGUGGGCAAAAGCGUAAAGGGUGUGAUAGGCCGUUUUAAUUAAAAAGGGUUUUAUAAUUUAAGAAGGUAAAUGGAAUUUUUUUGUAGCGGUGGAAUGUGUAAAUAGAAAAAAGAACUUUAGACGUGAAGACUAUUUAUUUUUGAGAUUAUAGUGUGGUGGCUAAAACACGAGAGUAUGGGGAGCAAACAGGAUUAGGGACCCUGGUAGUCUAUACUGUAAAUAAUGAAAAAGAUGUGAAGCAAUCCUAAAAAGUCAGAAAUUUUCCGCUUGAGUAGUACGACCGCAAGGUUAAAAUUCAAAAAACUUGGCUGUUCACUGUUUUAAUUAGAGGAGCGUGUCGUUUAAUUCGAUAGUCCGCGAGAGACCUUACCCAAACUUGAAUCCCUCAUUGACAGGUAUUGCAUGGCCGUCGUCAAUUUGUGUAUUAAACAUAAAACAGAUUUAACCCAGUGGUUUGUCACUUGGAUGAAGUCAGGUCUUAUUGUCCUAAUGUUUGGGGAUUAGAUGCGCUACAUUUUUUUAUACAAUAGGAAACUUUGAGUGUGAAACCUGAAAAUAAGAGUUCGGAAAGUGCCUGGAAGAUAACGGAAAGUUGUAUUUAAUAGUAAUUGAAAAGUAGAGCGUUUCAAUGAAAUUUUUUCAGUGUUAGUACAAAUUGCCCGUCGCCUUUGCUUAGACAGGUUGGUUGAUUGCCCCUCAAGAGGGUUUCUAAUACCUCCGAGGCAGAGUAAGUCGUAACA